AUCCUGGCUCAGGAUGAACGCUGGCGGCGUGCUUAACACAUGCAAGUCGAACGAUGAUCCCAGCUUGCUGGGGGAUUAGUGGCGAACGGGUGAGUAACACGUGAGUAACCUGCCCUUGACUCUGGGAUAAGCCUGGGAAACUGGGUCUAAUACCGGAUAUGACUCCUCAUCGCAUGGUGGGGGGUGGAAAGCUUUUGUGGUUUUGGAUGGACUCGCGGCCUAUCAGCUUGUUGGUGGGGUAAUGGCCUACCAAGGCGACGACGGGUAGCCGGCCUGAGAGGGUGACCGGCCACACUGGGACUGAGACACGGCCCAGACUCCUACGGGAGGCAGCAGUGGGGAAUAUUGCACAAUGGGCGCAAGCCUGAUGCAGCGACGCCGCGUGAGGGAUGACGGCCUUCGGGUUGUAAACCUCUUUCAGUAGGGAAGAAGCGUAAGUGACGGUACCUGCAGAAGAAGCGCCGGCUAACUACGUGCCAGCAGCCGCGGUAAUACGUAGGGCGCAAGCGUUAUCCGGAAUUAUUGGGCGUAAAGAGCUCGUAGGCGGUUUGUCGCGUCUGCUGUGAAAGACCGGGGCUCAACUCCGGUUCUGCAGUGGGUACGGGCAGACUAGAGUGCAGUAGGGGAGACUGGAAUUCCUGGUGUAGCGGUGAAAUGCGCAGAUAUCAGGAGGAACACCGAUGGCGAAGGCAGGUCUCUGGGCUGUAACUGACGCUGAGGAGCGAAAGCAUGGGGAGCGAACAGGAUUAGAUACCCUGGUAGUCCAUGCCGUAAACGUUGGGCACUAGGUGUGGGGGACAUUCCACGUUUUCCGCGCCGUAGCUAACGCAUUAAGUGCCCCGCCUGGGGAGUACGGCCGCAAGGCUAAAACUCAAAGGAAUUGACGGGGGCCCGCACAAGCGGCGGAGCAUGCGGAUUAAUUCGAUGCAACGCGAAGAACCUUACCAAGGCUUGACAUGAACCGGAAAGACCUGGAAACAGGUGCCCCGCUUGCGGUCGGUUUACAGGU
RNAcentral lists this ribosomal RNA (1009 nucleotides) under Paenarthrobacter histidinolovorans. RNAcentral's name for it is "bacterial SSU rRNA". It matches the Rfam family "Bacterial small subunit ribosomal RNA", at positions 16 to 1039 of the family's 1533-position model. The record is from RNAcentral. Lineage: Bacteria; Bacillati; Actinomycetota; Actinomycetes; Micrococcales; Micrococcaceae.